UCAGAGAAUAGUUUAAAAAAUAUUAGUUUUGGGAAUUAAAGAUAAAGAGAAUAAUUUCUUUUUCUCUGAA
Molecule: transfer RNA, 70 nt
Filed under: Xenophthalmus pinnotheroides
Lineage: Eukaryota; Metazoa; Arthropoda; Malacostraca; Decapoda; Xenophthalmidae
Description: tRNA-Pro
Rfam family: tRNA
About the family: Transfer RNA (tRNA) molecules are approximately 80 nucleotides in length. Their secondary structure includes four short double-helical elements and three loops (D, anti-codon, and T loops).
Source: RNAcentral